This 71-nucleotide transfer RNA is filed under the name Loxodonta africana (African savanna elephant). It matches the Rfam family "tRNA". Rfam says of the family: Transfer RNA (tRNA) molecules are approximately 80 nucleotides in length. Lineage: Eukaryota; Metazoa; Chordata; Mammalia; Proboscidea; Elephantidae. The record is from Rfam by way of RNAcentral.
GCAUUGGUGGUUCAAUGGUAGAACUCCCGACUUCCAUGCAGGAGAACCAGGUUCAAUUCCCAGCCAAAGCA